AGUGAACGCUGGCGGUAGGCCUAACACAUGCAAGUCGAACGGCAGCACAGUAAGAGCUUGCUCUUACGGGUGGCGAGUGGCGGACGGGUGAGGAAUACAUCGGAAUCUACUUUUUCGUGGGGGAUAACGUAGGGAAACUUACGCUAAUACCGCAUACGACCUACGGGUGAAAGCAGGGGAUCUUCGGACCUUGCGCGAUUGAAUGAGCCGAUGUCGGAUUAGCUAGUUGGCGGGGUAAAGACCCACCAAGGCGACGAUCCGUAGCUGGUCUGAGAGGAUGAUCGGCCACACUGGAACUUGGACACGGUCCAGGCUCCUACGAGAGGCAGCAGUGGGGAAUAUUGGACAAUGGGCGCAAGCCUGAUCCAGCCAUACCGCGUGGGUGAAGGAAGCCUUCGGGUUGUAAAGCCCUUUUGUUGGGUAAGAAAAGCAGCAGGUUAAUACCCCGCUGUUCUGACGGUACCCAAAGAAUAAGCACCGGCUAACUUCGUG
Molecule: ribosomal RNA, 492 nt
Filed under: uncultured bacterium
Lineage: Bacteria
Description: partial 16S ribosomal RNA
Rfam family: Bacterial small subunit ribosomal RNA
Source: RNAcentral